This is a long non-coding RNA of Bufo bufo (common toad), 626 nucleotides long. RefSeq lists it as uncharacterized. Lineage: Eukaryota; Metazoa; Chordata; Amphibia; Anura; Bufonidae. The record is from RefSeq and is a predicted model, not a curated record. The transcript has 4 exons.
UAGCGCACCAGUAAUAUCCCUGCAUCACCAGAAGACAAUACACAGUGCAUCAUCCAGGAAAAAAGUUAGACCUCCCAGUUAAACAUGACACGAACAAUCACAUUGCUGCUGAUAUCCCUAGGUGUGCUCCUUGCUCUGGUAACAGCACAAUCAAUACCUGACUGUACAGAUGGCAAAGUAUAUACUCCUUGUAGGGCCGCCUGUCGACCAACCUGCGAUAACCCGAAUCCUGCAUGCAAUUUUAUGUGUGUUCCAGGUUGUUUAUGCCCAAAUGGCACUGUAGAAAAUAUCUGGGGUGAAUGUGUGGAAAAGGAUAAGUGCAGACUCUGCAGCGGGAACACAACAUAUUCCAAUUGUGCCAAUAACUGCAUUGGUGUUGUAUCUCCCCCAAGAUGCCUUAGAAUAGCCUGUAUGCAAGGCUGUGCAUGUAAACCCAACUACGCGCUCCUACCUGACAGAAAGAGAUGUGUCCUUCCACAGGAUCUUCCACAGGAUCUUCCACAGAAUGGCUCCAACAAGUAAACCAUCCCAUGUGUGUCUUAUUAGCAAUCAUCAAAAUUGAAAGUGACCUCGUCCUAUUAUAUAGAGAUGUGUCUGAUGAAAAUAAAAUGAUUUCUAAAAUUGUU